RNAcentral lists this ribosomal RNA (448 nucleotides) under uncultured bacterium. RNAcentral's name for it is "SSU rRNA". It matches the Rfam family "Bacterial small subunit ribosomal RNA", at positions 26 to 518 of the family's 1533-position model. The record is from RNAcentral.
AGAGCGAACGCUGGCGGCAGGCUUAACACAUGCAAGUCGAGCGGGCGUAGCAAUACGUCAGCGGCAGACGGGUGAGUAACGCGUGGGAACAUACCUUUUGGUUCGGAACAACACAGGGAAACUUGUGCUAAUACCGGAUAAGCCCUUACGGGGAAAGAUUUAUCGCCGAAAGAUUGGCCCGCGUCUGAUUAGCUAGUUGGUGAGGUAACGGCUCACCAAGGCGACGAUCAGUAGCUGGUCUAAGAGGAUGAUCAGCCACAUUGGGACUGAGACACGGCCCAAACUCCUACGGGAGGCAGCAGUGGGGAAUAUUGGACAAUGGGCGCAAGCCUGAUCCAGCCAUGCCGCGUGAGUGAUGAAGGCCCUAGGGUUGUAAAGCUCUUUUGUGCGGGAAGAUAAUGACGGUACCGCAAGAAUAAGCCCCGGCUAACUUCGUGCCAGCAGCCGC